CCUACGGGAGGCAGCAGUGAGGAAUCUUGGUCAAUGGGCGCGAGCCUGAACCAGCCAAGUCGCGUGAGGGAAUACGGUCCUAUGGAUUGUAAACCUCUUUUGUCGGGGAGCAAAAGACGCCACGCGUGGCGUUCCGAGAGUACCCGAAGAAAACGCAUCGGCAAGCUCCGGGCCAGCAGCCGCGUGAAUACGGAGGAUGAGUGCGUUAUCCGGAUUUGUGGGGUUGAAAGGGUGCGCAGGCGGAAGAUCAAGUCAGCGGUAAAAUUGAGGGGCUCAACCUCUUCGAGCCGUUGAAAGUGGUUUUCUUGAGUGAGCGAGGAGUAUGCGGAAUGCGUGGUGUAGCAGUGAAAUGCAUAGAUAUCACGCAGAACACCGAUUGCGAAGGCAGCAUACCGGCGCUCAACUGACGCUCAUGCACGAAAGUGUGGGUAUCGAACAGGAUUAGAUACCCUUGUAGUC
RNAcentral lists this ribosomal RNA (459 nucleotides) under uncultured bacterium. RNAcentral describes it as "partial 16S ribosomal RNA". It matches the Rfam family "Bacterial small subunit ribosomal RNA", at positions 338 to 795 of the family's 1533-position model. The record is from RNAcentral.